Molecule: unclassified non-coding RNA, 334 nt
Filed under: soil metagenome
Description: partial contains 5.8S ribosomal RNA, internal transcribed spacer 2, and large subunit ribosomal RNA
Rfam family: 5.8S ribosomal RNA (bases 1-120)
Source: RNAcentral
GAUGAAGAACGUAGCGAAAUGCGAUACGUAAUGUGAAUUGCAGAAUUCAGUGAAUCAUCGAAUCUUUGAACGCACAUUGCGCCUGCCAGCACUCUGGCAGGCAUGCCUGUUCGAGCGUCAUUUCAACCAUCAAGCCCUAGGCUUGCGUUGGAGCCCUGCGGCUGCCGCAGGCCCCUAAAAGCAGUGGCGGGCCCGCUAUCACACCGAGUGCAGUAGAUUACUCUUCGCUCAGGGCGUGUGGCGGGUUCCAGCCGUGAAACCCCCUACUUCUCAAGGUUGACCUCGGAUCAGGUAGGAAUACCCGCUGAACUUAAGCAUAUCAAUAAGCGGAGGA